GUAGGGUCCAAGCGUUAAUCGGAAUUACUGGGCGUAAAGCGUGCGCAGGCGGUUGUGCAAGACCGAUGUGAAAUCCCCGGGGCUUAACCUGGGAAUUGCAUUGGUAACUGCACGGCUAGAGUGUGUCAGAGGGGGGUAGAAUUCCGCGUGUAGCAGUGAAAUGCGUAGAGAUGUGGAGGAAUACCGAUGGCGAAGGCAGCCCCCUGGGAUAACACUGACGCUCAUGCACGAAAGCGUGGGGAGCAAACAGGAUUAGAUACCCUGGUAGUCCACGCCCUAAACGAUGUCAACUAGUUGUUGGGGAUUCAUUUCCUUAGUAACGUAGCUAACGCGUGAAGUUGACCGCCUGGGGAGUACGGUCGCAAGAUUA
This 370-nucleotide ribosomal RNA is filed under the name uncultured organism. RNAcentral describes it as "partial 16S ribosomal RNA". It matches the Rfam family "Bacterial small subunit ribosomal RNA", at positions 527 to 896 of the family's 1533-position model. The record is from RNAcentral.